CCUGGUUGAUCCUGCCAGUAGUCAUAUGCUUGUUUCAAAGAUUAAGCCAUGCAUGUGUCAGAAUAUGUUUGUAUAAACGAAUCUGCGGACGGCUCAUUAAAACAGUAAUCACAUAUUUGACGUUUUCUUGACGGAUAUCCGUGGGAAACCAAGGCUAAUACGGGUUAAAACCGGUGCUUUUUGGUACCGCGGCAUUUCCUGCUUUACAAACCAAACGCGCUUGCGUGUGCGAGGAAUCGCAGGAACUUUUCGAGUCGAAUUAUCGAUGCGUCAUUUUGGUUUCUGACCUAUCAUGGUAGUUGGUAGGAUAUUGGCCUACCAAUCCGUUGACGGGUAACGGGGAAUUAGGGUCUGAUUCCGGAGAGGGCGCCUGAGAAAUGGCGACCACGUCUAAGGAUGGCAGCAGGCGCGCAAAUUACCCAAUCCUGACUCAGGGAGGUAGUGACAAAAAAUAGCAACUCAAAUAUCAAUAUAUUUGCUGAUUGCGAUGAUCCUCGCCUAAAUGUUGAAGAGAGAACCAAUUGGAGGGCAAGCCUGGUGCCAGCAGCCGCGGUAAUUCCAGCUCCAAUAGCGUAUAUUAAAUUUGUUGCAGUUAAAAAGCUCGUAGUUGAAUUGAUCGUUAGCUGAGUGAUUCUUUCUAAGAACGUGAAGCUGACGCGGGCUUUUCAGAAAGCCUCUCUUACUUUGAGAAAAAUAGAGUGUUUCAGGCGGGCCAGUGUUGAAAUAGUGUACCAUGGAAUGAUGUCGUGGCUACCUCUCCGUUUCUUUGGUUUUGGACGGGGUAGUUCGUAAUUGAUAGGAACAGUCGGGGGUAUUCGUAUCAAUCAGUCAGAGGUGAAAUUCUUAGAUUUUUUUGAGACGAACUAAUGCGAAAGCAUCUACCAAGUAUGUUUUCAUUAAUCGAGAGCGAAAGUUAGGGAAUCGAAGACGAUCAGAUACCGUCGUAGUCUUAACCGUAAACUACCCGACUAGAGAUCGGUGGAUAUCAUUCAUGAUUCCUUCGGCAACUUAUGAGAAAUCAAAGUUAUUGGGUUCUGGGGGGAGUAUGGUCGCAAGGCUGAAACUUAAAGGAAUUGACGGAAGGGCACCACCAGGAGUGGAGCCUGCGGCUUAAUUUGACCCAACACGGGAAAACUCACCAGGUCCAGACGUGGGAAGGAUUGACAGGCUGAAGCUCUUUCUUGAUUCUACGGGUGGUGGUGCAUGGCCGUUCUUAGUUGGUGGAUUGAUUUGUCUGGUUGAUUCCGACAACGAACGAGACCUUCGCCUGCUUAAUGGUGGUGCUUUCUGCGGAUUGCACUAUUUCUUAGCGGGACUUUAUGCGUCACAGCAUAAUGAAGCGAAGGCAAUAACAGGUCUGUGAUGCCCUUAGAUGUUCUGGGCUGCACGCGCGCUACAAUGGCGUUUGCAACAAGAUUGCUAAACCGAAAGGUUAAGCAGAUCUUUGAAGCGGCGUCGUGACCGGGACUGUUGAUUGCAAUUAUACGACACGAACGAGGAAUUCCUUGUAAUCGCGAUUCAUCAAAUCGCGCUGAAUACGUCCCUGCCCUUUGUACACACCGCCCGUCGCUUCUACCGAUUGAACGAUGCGAUAAAUUAUCUGGAUAGAAGGCGUUGCUGUUUAUCAGCGAUGACCCUCUUGAAGUUUUGUGAAUCUUAUCGUUUAGAGGAAGGAAAAGUCGUAACAAGGUU
Molecule: ribosomal RNA, 1692 nt
Filed under: metagenome
Description: SSU rRNA
Rfam family: Eukaryotic small subunit ribosomal RNA
Source: RNAcentral